RNAcentral lists this ribosomal RNA (497 nucleotides) under uncultured bacterium. Its description in RNAcentral is "partial 16S ribosomal RNA". It matches the Rfam family "Bacterial small subunit ribosomal RNA", at positions 28 to 507 of the family's 1533-position model. The record is from RNAcentral.
GAUGAACGCUGGCGGCGUGCCUAAUACAUGCAAGUCGAGCGAACGGACGAGAAGCUUGCUUCUCUGAUGUUAGCGGCGGACGGGUGAGUAACACGUGGAUAACCUACCUAUAAGACUGGGAUAACUUCGGGAAACCGGAGCUAAUACCGGAUAAUAUUUUGAACCGCAUGGUUCAAAAGUGAAAGACGGUCUUGCUGUCGCUUAUAGAUGGAUCCGCGCUGCAUUAGCUAGUUGGUAAGGUAACGGCUUACCAAGGCAACGAUGCAUAGCCGACCUGAGAGGGUGAUCGGCCACACUGGAACUGAGACACGGUCCAGACUCCUACGGGAGGCAGCAGUAGGGAAUCUUCCGCAAUGGGCGAAAGCCUGACGGAGCAACGCCGCGUGAGUGAUGAAGGUCUUCGGAUCGUAAAACUCUGUUAUUAGGGAAGAACAUAUGUGUAAGUAACUGUGCACAACUUGACGGUACCUAAUCAGAAAGCCACGGCUAACUACGUG